AUUGAACGCUGGCGGCAGGCCUAACACAUGCAAGUCGAGCGUGCGGCGGACGGGUGAGUAAUGUCUGGGAAACUGCCUGAUGGAGGGGGAUAACUACCGGAAACGGUAGCUAAUACCGUAUACCAUCAGAUUUGCCCAGAUGGGAUUAGCUAGUAGGUGGGGUAACGGCUCACCUAGGCGACGAUCCAUAGCUGGUCUGAGAGGAAGACCAGCCACACUGGAACUGAGACACGGUCCAGACUCCUACGGGAGUCAGCAGUGGGGAAUCUUGCGCAAUGGGCGCAAGCCUGAUGCAGCCAGGCCGCGUGUGUGAAGAAGGCCUUCGGGUUGUAAAGCGCUUGCAGCGGGGAGGCGUUACCCGCAGAAGAAGCACCGGCUAACUCCGUGCCAGCAGCCGCGGUAAUAC
Molecule: ribosomal RNA, 406 nt
Filed under: uncultured bacterium
Lineage: Bacteria
Description: partial 16S ribosomal RNA
Rfam family: Bacterial small subunit ribosomal RNA
Source: RNAcentral